UGAUGACGGUACCGUUUGUAAGCUCCGGCUAACUCCGUGCCAGCAGCCGCGGUAAUACGGGGGGAGCAAGCGUUGUUCGGAUUUACUGGGCGUAAAGGGCGCGUAGGCGGCCAGCACAAGUCAGUUGUGAAAUCUCCGNGCUUAACUCGGAAAGGUCAACUGAUACUGNGCGGCUAGAGUGCGGAAGGGGCAACUGGAAUUCUUGGUGUAGCGGUGAAAUGCGUAGAUAUCNAGAGGAACACCUGCGGCGAAGGCGGGUUGCUGGGCCGACACUGACGCUGAGGCGCGAAAGCNAGGGGAGCGAACGGGAUUAGAUACCCCGGUAGUCCUGGCCUUAAACGAUGNAUGCUUGGUGUCUGGGGUU
RNAcentral lists this ribosomal RNA (364 nucleotides) under uncultured bacterium. Its description in RNAcentral is "bacterial SSU rRNA". It matches the Rfam family "Bacterial small subunit ribosomal RNA", at positions 467 to 831 of the family's 1533-position model. The record is from RNAcentral.